CUCUGCUCGUGUUGCCAGCUGAACCAUAGUUCAGCGCCCAUUCUUCCGCUUUCUGAGAGGUAACCUUCUCAAGCAGGAUUUCUCUGGACUGGAACAUUAAGAAAAUGAAAACACCAGUAGUAUAUCCAUAAAAGAGGUCUCAGAAUGUCAGAAGUUGGUGAGAAAACUGUAAAAAAGCGGAGAAACCACGGUCUUCCCAUUCUAUGAUAAUUAAAAGCUUACUGCUCCUGCUUGCAAUCUUCAUGCACACCGAAUGCUUCCUGGGAGACCAAAGACUUCCUGCACUGCAGCACCCCGAGUUGUCUUUUUCUCAAUGAUUGGUGAAUUGCGGCUGUUCCUGCACACUUUCAGCAAGGGAGCAACUCAUCUGCUCCCUAAUCCUUUUCAAAAUGCAGAGGAAAUUGAAAAGCAGAUUCAAAUCUUGUGAAGUGUGUAA
Molecule: long non-coding RNA, 436 nt
Organism: Fukomys damarensis (Damara mole-rat)
Lineage: Eukaryota; Metazoa; Chordata; Mammalia; Rodentia; Bathyergidae
Exons: 3
Source: RefSeq, a predicted model, not a curated record